Molecule: small nucleolar RNA, 97 nt
Organism: Diospyros lotus (date-plum)
Lineage: Eukaryota; Viridiplantae; Streptophyta; Magnoliopsida; Ericales; Ebenaceae
Product: small nucleolar RNA Z161/Z228
Exons: 1
Source: RefSeq, a predicted model, not a curated record
ACGCCAAAUGAUGAGCCUGGAAUGAAAUUUCUCACGACGGUCGUCUGAGACGUCUUAACAAGCGUCAUCCCGAUGAAACGUUCCAACUCUGAUGGUU